GAUGAACGCUAGCUACAGGCUUAACACAUGCAAGUCGAGGGGUAACAAGGGGAAAGCUUGCUUUCCUUGUUGACGACCGGCGCACGGGUGAGUAACGCGUAUCCAACCUGCCUAUAACUAGGGAAUAACCUUGCGAAAGUAAGACUAAUACCCUAUGAUUUCCUUUGAUGACAUCAGAUUAGGAAUAAAGAUUUAUCGGUUAUAGAUGGGGAUGCGUCUGAUUAGCUUGUUGGCGGGGUAACGGCCCACCAAGGCAACGAUCAGUAGGGGUUCUGAGAGGAAGGUCCCCCACAUUGGAACUGAGACACGGUCCAAACUCCUACGGGAGGCAGCAGUGAGGAAUAUUGGUCAAUGGGCGGAAGCCUGAACCAGCCAAGUAGCGUGCAGGAUGACGGCCCUAUGGGUUGUAAACUGCUUUUAUACAGGAAUAAAGUUAGCCACGUGUGGUUAUUUGUAGGUACUGUAUGAAUAAGGACCGGCUAAUUCCGUGCCAGCAGCCGCAGUAA
This 506-nucleotide ribosomal RNA is filed under the name uncultured bacterium. RNAcentral describes it as "partial 16S ribosomal RNA". It matches the Rfam family "Bacterial small subunit ribosomal RNA", at positions 28 to 523 of the family's 1533-position model. The record is from RNAcentral.